RNAcentral lists this ribosomal RNA (477 nucleotides) under uncultured bacterium. RNAcentral's name for it is "partial 16S ribosomal RNA". It matches the Rfam family "Bacterial small subunit ribosomal RNA", at positions 29 to 507 of the family's 1533-position model. The record is from RNAcentral.
ACGAACGCUGGCGGCGUGCUUAACACAUGCAAGUCGAACGGGAUUUAGUAAACGGAAGCCUCGGUGGAAGAUUACUAAUGAGAGUGGCGAACGGGUGAGUAACGCGUGAGCAACCUGCCUAUGACAGUGGGAUAGCCUCGGGAAACCGGGAUUAAUACCGCAUAAAAUCGUAGAAACAAAUGUUUCAACGGUCAAAGAUUUAUCGGUCAUAGAUGGGCUCGCGUCUGAUUAGCUAGUUGGUGAGAUAACAGCCCACCAAGGCGACGAUCAGUAGCCGGUCUGAGAGGAUGAACGGCCACAUUGGAACUGAGACACGGUCCAAACUCCUACGGGAGGCAGCAGUGGGGAAUAUUGCACAAUGGGGGAAACCCUGAUGCAGCGACGCCGCGUGAACGAAGAAGGUAUUCGUAUCGUAAAGUUCUGUCCUAUGGGAAGAUAAUGACAGUACCAUAGAAGAAAGCUCCGGCUAAAUACGUG